RNAcentral lists this transfer RNA (67 nucleotides) under Flavobacteriaceae bacterium. RNAcentral describes it as "tRNA-Leu". It matches the Rfam family "tRNA", at positions 9 to 64 of the family's 71-position model. From Rfam's summary of the family: Transfer RNA (tRNA) molecules are approximately 80 nucleotides in length. Lineage: Bacteria; Pseudomonadati; Bacteroidota; Flavobacteriia; Flavobacteriales; Flavobacteriaceae. The record is from RNAcentral.
GGUGGAAUUGGUAGACACGCUAGACUUAGGAUCUAGUGCCGCGAGGUGUGAGAGUUCGAGUCUCUCC